RNAcentral lists this ribosomal RNA (495 nucleotides) under uncultured bacterium. RNAcentral's name for it is "partial 16S ribosomal RNA". It matches the Rfam family "Bacterial small subunit ribosomal RNA", at positions 28 to 507 of the family's 1533-position model. The record is from RNAcentral.
GAUGAACGCUGGCGGCGUGCUUAACACAUGCAAGUCGAACGAAGCACCUCUCCCGAAGAUUGCCACAGCUUGCUGUAGAUUGAUUCAUUUGAGGUGACUGAGUGGCGGACGGGUGAGUAACGCGUGGGUAACCUGCCUCAUAGAGGGGGACAACAGUUGGAAACGACUGCUAAUACCGCAUAGUAAGAAGAAUUCGCAUGUUUUCUUCUUGAAAGAUUUAUCGCUAUGAGAUGGACCCGCGUCUGAUUAGCUAGUUGGUAAGGUAACGGCUUACCAAGGCGACGAUCAGUAGCCGGCUUGAGAGAGUGAACGGCCACAUCGGGACUGAGACACGGCCCAAACUCCUACGGGAGGCAGCAGUGGGGAAUAUUGCCAAAUGGGGGAAAUCCUGAUGCAGCGACGCCGCGUGAGUGAAGAAGUAUUUCGGUAUGUAAAGCUCUAUAAGCAGGGAAGAUAAUGACGGUACCUGACUAAGAAGCCCCGGCUAACUACGUG